UGCUCAGCCUCUGCUUGUAGCUUCUGCUCCA
RNAcentral lists this non-coding RNA (31 nucleotides) under Homo sapiens (human). The record is from RNAcentral. Lineage: Eukaryota; Metazoa; Chordata; Mammalia; Primates; Hominidae.